AGAGGAUCUAAUGUGUGUGCUUACGGAAUGUAGUGUAUAGGGAUACCAGUUUGUGUAGGUGAUGCAGUGUUGUUUGUGUAAGGGAUAGAAAGCAGUGAGUGUUUGUGUAUAAGGGAUGUAUUGUGUGUUUCUUGUUGUGUGUAAGGGAUGCAUUGUGUGAAUCUGUGUUUGUAUGCAUAAGGGAUGCAAAGUGUGUAUGUAAGGGAUGCAGUGUGUGUGUCUGUAAGGGGUGUGUUGAGUGUGUGUAAGAGAUGCAUUGUGUUUCUG
Molecule: long non-coding RNA, 267 nt
Filed under: Pelobates cultripes (western spadefoot toad)
Lineage: Eukaryota; Metazoa; Chordata; Amphibia; Anura; Pelobatidae
Source: RNAcentral